AACGCUAGCUACAGGCUUAACACAUGCAAGUCGCGGGGUAACGAGAGGGAAGCUUGCUUUCCUUGUCGACGACCGGCGCACGGGUGAGUAACGCGUAUCCAACCUGCCCAUUACCACGGGAUACCCCGUCGAAAGGCGGCCUAAUACCGUAUGCAGUCGUCAGAUGACAUCAGAGGACGACGAAAGGAUUGGCGGUAAUGGAUGGGGAUGCGUCUGAUUAGGUAGUUGGAGGGGUAACGGCCCACCAAGCCAUCGAUCAGUAGGGGUUCUGAGGGGAAGGUCCCCCACAUUGGAACUGAGACACGGUCCAAACUCCUACGGGAGGCAGCAGUGAGGAAUAUUGGUCAAUGGGCGCGAGCCUGAACCAGCCAAGUAGCGUGAGGGAUGACGGCCCUAUGGGUUGUAAACCUCUUUUAUGCAGGAAUAAAAUGUUUGACGUGUCAUACAUUGUAGGUACCGCAAGAAUAAGGACCGGCUAAUUCCGUGCCAGCAGCCGCGGUAAUACGGAAGGUCCAGGCGUUAUCCGGAUUUAUUGGGUUUAAAGGGAGCGUAGGCCGCAAGUCAAGCGUGUUGUGAAAUGCAGGGGCUCAACCUCUGGAUUGCAGCGCGAACUGGCAUGCUUGAGUACGCACGAGGUAGGCGGAAUUUGUGGUGUAGCGGUGAAAUGCUUAGAUAUCACGAAGAACUCCGAUUG
Molecule: ribosomal RNA, 694 nt
Filed under: uncultured bacterium
Lineage: Bacteria
Description: bacterial SSU rRNA
Rfam family: Bacterial small subunit ribosomal RNA
Source: RNAcentral